AACUUGGCGCAGUGGCGAUAUCGUAACCAAUGAGGUACAACCGAGGUGCGAUUAUUGCUAGUUGAAAACUAAAACAUUUUUGAAUAAGAUCGAUUUUUUCCGUCUUUUUUAGGGAUUUUUUAUUAUCGGAUUUUUGA
Armigeres subalbatus is the source of this 137-nucleotide small nuclear RNA. RefSeq annotates it as U4 spliceosomal RNA. The transcript has a single exon. The record is from RefSeq and is a predicted model, not a curated record. Lineage: Eukaryota; Metazoa; Arthropoda; Insecta; Diptera; Culicidae.